GUCUGAGUCCACCUGGAUGCUGACCUGGGGCACGGGCGGGCGUUGUGGCGGCAGCGGAGGUGGCAGGUGUGACGGAGCGUCCCCGGGGGCGAGGCUGGAGGUCUGGGAGUGGGCAGAGACACUGUUCACAUGGACGGCAGGUUGGAGUGACGAAGAUGAUGACACAUUCUGCAGUGACGGUGUCGUUGUCCCAGCCAGUGUUUGCUGUCGUGCAGUUUCGACGCGCAGUACCUGCGGUCUAAGUCGUUCUGAUCGGAGUUGACUGUCGAGUAAGGGUUCGUCUCCUGAUGUCGUCCAGCCAGGCCAAGUCGUGUUGUGAGAACAUCAGAUCCAGCAGCUUCCUCACGACCAUCAGACCCAGAAUCUACAGACAGCGGACGGAGGAUAAAGGGACACAGUUUCCAGUCCGUUUUCUGUCAAUGGAC
Epinephelus fuscoguttatus (brown-marbled grouper) is the source of this 425-nucleotide long non-coding RNA. RefSeq lists it as uncharacterized. The transcript is spliced from 4 exons. The record is from RefSeq and is a predicted model, not a curated record. NCBI's taxonomy places the organism in Eukaryota, Metazoa, Chordata, Actinopteri, Perciformes, Serranidae.